UGGCGAACGGGUGAGUAACACGUGGGUAACCUGCCCAUCAGAAGGGGAUAACACUUGGAAACAGGUGCUAAUACCGUAUAACAAUCAAAACCGCAUGGUUUUGAUUUGAAAGGCGCUUUCGGGUGUCGCUGAUGGAUGGACCCGCGGUGCAUUAGCUAGUUGGUGAGGUAACGGCUCACCAAGGCAAUGAUACGUAGCCGAACUGAGAGGUUGAUCGGCCACAUUGGGACUGAGACACGGCCCAAACUCCUACGGGAGGCAGCAGUAGGGAAUCUUCCACAAUGGACGCAAGUCUGAUGGAGCAACGCCGCGUGAGUGAAGAAGGCUUUCGGGUCGUAAAACUCUGUUGUUGGAGAAGAAUGGUCGGCAGAGUAACUGUUGUCGGCGUGACGGUAUCCAACCAGAAAGCCACGGCUAACUACGUGCCAGCAGCCGCGGUAAUACGUAGGUGGCAAGCGUUAUCCGGAUUUAUUGGGCGUAAAGCGAGCGCAGGCGGUUUUUUAAGUCUGAUGUGAAAGCCCUCGGCUUAACCGAGGAAGUGCAUCGGAAACUGGGAAACUUGAGUGCAGAAGAGGACAGUGGAACUCCAUGUGUAGCGGUGAAAUGCGUAGAUAUAUGGAAGAACACCAGUGGCGAAGGCGGCUGUCUG
RNAcentral lists this ribosomal RNA (649 nucleotides) under uncultured Bacilli bacterium. RNAcentral's name for it is "bacterial SSU rRNA". It matches the Rfam family "Bacterial small subunit ribosomal RNA", at positions 96 to 731 of the family's 1533-position model. The record is from RNAcentral. Lineage: Bacteria; Bacillati; Bacillota; Bacilli.